CAUGUUAUUAGGUUACCGGUUUCUUCUUAUGUAAGUACCUUUAUCGCCGUUAUUACGUGAAUUUAUUCGUAAGUGCAAAUCAUUUAUGAAUGGAUCGUCGAUACGUGCGGUUGUAUGUGUAUUCCGUUCGUGUGAAACGCUUUCUACGUGGAAAUCUAAACCGGUGGACAGCUUUUACGGUGAGAUGGCAACUUUGAUAUUCAUAGACUGACUGGUAUUUAUUUAAAAUUGGGGCUUUCAAGGAAUGAAUUGACCUCUUAAACUUCGAAUUGGAUUUAAUGUUCUGGUAUCAAUAAACUAUUAUAAAAUAUGCAAAAAGCGAAAGCUGCCAGAUCUAUGUGGCAUCUGCGAAUAAUUAACAAGUAACCAGCUUAUUCCUUUGGGAUAGAUCUUGUGUUGCCAUUUAGGUUCGACGUCUUGCUAAUGGAAUGGACCUUCCAAUCGGUAGAUAAAGUUGCCUCGGUUUCGUAUCUAAAACUUUAAUUUAAAAUGGAGCUGGCUAGCACUACUUUGGAACAGAAUACACGGACGAAGGAGUGAUCAUGGAAUGUUCUAGAUGCACGGGGAUGUCCAAAGACGUGAACACGUUUUCAAAAGUGAUUCGCAAUUCAAAUUCAAAAAGAUGCGAGCUACCACCACUUUGAAACAGAAUACACGGACGUUUUUUUGGGGAUGAAGGAGAAGGCCAUGGAAUGAUACUGUUGUCCGCCAAAUCAUCGUCGAUAAGUGCGGUUGUAUGUGUGUUCCGUUCGUGUGAAACGCUUUCUACGUGGAAGUGGUGAGUUUCUUUUACAUUUUUGCUUAGGUGUAGCUUUUUUUAAUUCAUUAUUUAUGAAUGUCAGGGCCCUGCAGUUUGUAAUUGUUGAUUUGGUAUUAAAAAAUAAUUCAAUUUAAAGAGCAUUUUAUAAGUAAUCGUUGUCACUUGAACCAGGGUCCUCAGAUGCUCACCAGAAACCGCAUAGAAAAUGUCACUACAGAUUCUCUUAGGUUCAAACAGUAAUUUCGUCCUUCUAGGAGACAUGUGUCCAGAAAUUUUUCUUACGAGGAUGGCGCAUCAUCUAAAGAUGUCAGAUAACUACUUGUGUAACUUUGUGGUCAGAAUUCGUCCACAAGCAAAUGUUUAUUUUUCCUAGGUUUCUCUUAUAGUUUUGAAGUUAGGAAUACUUGCAAGUAAUUUAAUUAUCCCAGCAUAAUAAUUGAUGUAGGGCGUUUUGCAGGAGAAUCGUCGUUUCAAUGUAAACAAAUCUCAAAUGUAUUAUUCUUUAUUGCAUUAGUAAACCAGUGGACCGCUUUUACGGUGAGAUGGCAACUUUGAUAUUCAAAGACUAACCGGUAUUUUUUUAAAAUUGGGGCCUUCAAGGAAUGAAUCGACGUCUUAAACUUCGAAUUGGAUUUAAUGUUCUGGUAUCAAUAAACUAUUAUAAAAUAUGCAAAAAGCGAAAGCUGCCAGAUCUAUGUGGCAUCUGCGAAUAAUUAACAAGUAACCAGCUUAUUCCUUUGGGAUAGAUCUUGUGUUGCCAUUUAGAUUCGACGUCUUGCUAAUGGAAUGGACCUUCCAAUCGGUAGAUAAAGUUGCCUCGGUUUCGUAUCUAAAACUUUAAUUUAAAAUGGAGCUGGCUAGCACUACUUUGGAACAGAAUACACGGAGUCGAUUCCAUUAUUUCCAUUGCAGACGUUUUUUUGGGGAUGAAGGACAAGGCCAUGGAAUGAUGCUGUUGUCCACCAAAUCAUUAAGAAUGGAUCCUCGAUAAGUGCGGUAUGUUUGCUCCGUUCGUGUGAAACGCUUUUUACGUGGAAAUGGUGAGUUUCUUUUACCUUUUUGUGUAGCUUUGGGGACCGUGUAUUUUGUAUGGUUUGACUCGUUGUCGUAAUUUGUGUUGGUUUUGCGCAUGCAAAUAAAAGGGUUCUCUAAUUCUAAAUUCAUUAUUUAUGAAUGUCAGGGCCCUGCAGUUUGUAAUUGUUGAUUUGGUAUUAAAAAAUAAUUCAAUUUAAAGUAAUCGAUGCGUCACUUUAACCAGGUCCUUACUUAGAUGCUCGUCAGAAACGGCAUAGAAAAAGUCACUACAGACUCUCUUAGGUUCAAACAGUAAUUUCGUCCUUCUAGGAGACAUGUGUCCAGAAAUUUUUCUUACGAGGAUGGCGCAUCAUCUAAAGAUGUCAGAUAUAACUACUUGUGUAACUUUGUGGUCAGAAUUCGUCCACAAAGCAAAUGUUUAUUUUUCCUUGGUUUCACUUACCUAUAGUUUUGAAGCUAGGAAUACUUGCAAGUAAUUUAAUUAUCCCAGCAUAAAUCAUGUAGGGCGUUUUGCAGGAGAAUCCUCGAUUCAUUAAAGAUUAAUUUCAUUCUCGUUUUAAACUUACUUAAUUUUCUACUGUAUUCUCAUAUGCAUACAUGGCAAUCCUCGAGUGUGGGGGUGUAACUUUUGGGGUGCGCCAAAUAUUUUUGUUUCUUUGAUCGAUUUAGUUUAAUAGAUCUAUAAGGAACCUUAAAAUUAUAAAAUUACGAGGAUGGCGCAUCAUCUAAAGAUGUCAGAUAGCUACUUGUGUAUCAUUGUAGUCAGAAUUCGUCCACAAGCAAAUGUUUAUUUUUCCUUGGUUUCACUUACCUAUAGUUUUGAAGCUAGGAAUACUUGCAAG
Molecule: long non-coding RNA, 2637 nt
Organism: Photinus pyralis (common eastern firefly)
Lineage: Eukaryota; Metazoa; Arthropoda; Insecta; Coleoptera; Lampyridae
Exons: 5
Source: RefSeq, a predicted model, not a curated record